CCUACGGUAGGCAGCAGUGGGGGCUAUUGGACAAUGGGGGAAACCCUGAUCCAGCGACGCCGCGUUAGUGAAGAAGUAUUUCGUUAUGUAAAGCUCUAUCAGCAGGGAAGAAAGAAAUGACGGUACCUGAGUAAGAAGCCCCGGCUAACUACGUGCCAGCAGCCGCGGGAAUACGUAGGGGGCAAGCGUUAUCCGGAAUUACUGGGUGUAAAGGAAGCGUAGACGGUAAUGCAAGUCUGGAGUGAAAGGCGGGGGCCCAACCCCCGGACUGCUCUGGAAACUGUGUAACUGGAGUGCAGGAGAGGGAGGCGGAAUUCCUAGUGUAGCGGUGAAAUGCGUAGAUAUUAGGAGGAACACCAGUGGCGAAGGCGGCCUGAUGGACUGUAACUGACGUUGAGGCUCGAAAGCGUGGGGAGCAAACAGGAUUAGAUACCCUUGUAGUC
This 443-nucleotide ribosomal RNA is filed under the name uncultured bacterium. RNAcentral's name for it is "partial 16S ribosomal RNA". It matches the Rfam family "Bacterial small subunit ribosomal RNA", at positions 338 to 795 of the family's 1533-position model. The record is from RNAcentral.